GACGAACGCUGGCGGCGUGCCUAACACAUGCAAGUCGAUCGAAUGAAGUUCCUUCGGGAACGGAUUUAGCGGCGGACGGGUGAGUAACACGUGGGCAACCUGCCUCAUAGAGGGGAAUAGCCUUCCGAAAGGGAGAUUAAUACCGCAUAAGAUUGUAGUACCGCAUGGUACAGCAAUUAAAGGAUUAAUCCGCUAUGAGAUGGGCCCGCGGCGCAUUAGCUAGUUGGUGAGGUAACGGCUCACCAAGGCGACGAUGCGUAGCCGACCUGAGAGGGCGAUCGGCCACAUUGGGACUGAGACACGGACCAGACUCCUACGGGAGGCAGCAGUGGGGAAUAUUGCACCAUGGGGGAAACCCUGAUGCAGCAACGCCGCGUGAGUGAUGACGGCCUUCGGGUUGUAAAGCUCUGUCUUCAGGGACGAUAAUGACGGUACCUGAGGAGGAAGCCACGGCUGACUACGUGCCAGCCGCCGCCGUAA
This 480-nucleotide ribosomal RNA is filed under the name uncultured bacterium. Its description in RNAcentral is "partial 16S ribosomal RNA". It matches the Rfam family "Bacterial small subunit ribosomal RNA", at positions 28 to 523 of the family's 1533-position model. The record is from RNAcentral.